This 376-nucleotide ribosomal RNA is filed under the name uncultured bacterium. RNAcentral's name for it is "bacterial SSU rRNA". It matches the Rfam family "Bacterial small subunit ribosomal RNA", at positions 28 to 404 of the family's 1533-position model. The record is from RNAcentral.
GAUGAACGCUGGCGGCGUGCUUAAUACAUGCAAGUCGAACGGAGAUUGUAGCAAUACGGUCUUAGUGGCGAACGGGUGAGUAACGCGUUAGUGACCUGCCCCGAAGAGGGGGAUAACAGUCCGAAAGGAUUGCUAAUACCCCAUACCUUUACUGGGUUUAGAAACCGGUAAAGAAAGGAGAAAUUCGCUUUGGGAGGGGCUUGCGUCCCAUCAGCUAGUUGGUAGGGUAAUGGCCUACCAAGGCUAUGACGGGUAGGGGACCUGAGAGGGUGGACCCCCACAAUGGAACUGAUACACGGUCCAUACACCUACGGGUGGGCAGCAGUAGGGAAUAUUGGUUAAUCGACGAAAGUCGGAACCAAGCAACGCCGCGUGU